This 4518-nucleotide long non-coding RNA is filed under the name Cricetulus griseus (Chinese hamster). RNAcentral describes it as "lncRNA (ENSCGRG00015037067.1)". The record is from RNAcentral. Lineage: Eukaryota; Metazoa; Chordata; Mammalia; Rodentia; Cricetidae.
UUUUUAUUAGGAUUGACAUCUCAUAUUUUCAUGGUUUUUGAGUAUUCUUUUAAAAACACUAGUUGUUUUUUUUUGUUUUUUGUUUUUUUUUCUCAAAACAGGGUUUCUCUGUGUAGCCUUGGCUGUCCUGGAACUUUCUCUGUAGACCAGGUUGGUCUCAAAUUCACAUAGACCCACCUGUCUUUAAUUCCCAAAUGCUGGGAACACUAGUGUUUUAAAAGCAUAACAUUAAUACAAAAAAAGCAAAUUUACCUAUCAUCUUCAUAAUACACAUAAACUCUGUUGACACUUAAAAAUAUAUUGACAGUUAGAAAAUUUGAACAGUAAUGAAAGUUUCAUUCUAUCCCUCUACAGAAAGCCACUGUCUAUAUAUUUCUGUUCUGCCAGAAAUGUACGAAUAUGCACCAGACAGUGGAUAAAACUGCUCAGUGACUGGGACCUCCUCCUCUCACAAAAGCUGACAUGAAGUAUGACAGACAGGGUUGUCUGAAUAUGGCUGCACACGACCAGGCUGAAUGGCAGGGCUGGGGCAGGGGAGUGGCUCAGUCCUUAGCUCAACAAUAAAGCUACCUGAUAUCUCCCUCAAAUCCUUCUUAAAUGGUGGAAGGUUUAAAUUUAUCUUGAAACAUGUUUACAUGGUUUUUUGUUUGCCUUUUCCAAUCUCAUCCAUCCAUCCACCAACUUCAUCAAACAAACUGAUAGGGGUUAUUAUCUACUUUAAAAAAUGAUAUUGUGGGCUGGGGAGUUGGCUCAGUGAUUAAGAGAACUGGUUGCUCUUUCAGAGGACCAGGGUUCAAUUCUCAGCACCCACAUGGCAGUUGACAACUGUCUUUAAUUCCAGUUCCAGGGGAUCUGAUGCCCUCAUGAUAGACAUAAAAACACCAACGCACACGAAAUAAAAAUUUUUAAAAAAUGACACUGUGUCUGAGAGACAGUGAAGUCAAAUGACUUGUUCAGAACCAGGCAACUGACCAAGUCUUCUGACUCCAGGACACUCCCAUAUUCACCCCUGAUUCUCCCCAGCCUACCCUAGUGCAACAAGUUCAGCUUGCCACUUUAUGACCUCAAACAAAGAAACAGCAGUAAGAGUCGUGUGUGCUGGUGCAUGCUUGGAAUGCCUGCACUCCAGAAGAUAAGGUGAGAGACAGGAGUUCUAGGCUAGACUGGGCUUCUGUGUGCUAAAACUACUCCAUUCUCAUCAACACCUAAAUUUAAAUCUGGAUAGAAACAUAAUUAUUACCAGUUUUACCAACACCUGUGAAAAUUUACUUUGUGUUUUACUGUAAACACCUAUAUAUUUAAAACAUCCCAACUUUCAAAAGGUUUGAUAUCUUUUAUUUUACUUUUAAUAAUGAAAAAUGUUAGGCCAGGUGGUGGUGGCGCAUGCCUUUAAUCCCAGCACUCGGGAGGCAGAGGCAGGCAGAUCUCUGUGAGUUCCAGCCAAGCCUGGUCUACAAGAGCGAGUUCCAGGACAGCUUCCAAAGCCACAGAGAAACCCUGUCUCAACCUCCCCAUCCCCCCCCCAAAAAGAAUGAGAAGUGUUGCCUUGGAAUAUAGCAGUAGUCACUUGUCAUUUCCAUUUCCUGAGUUGCUUUCUAGUCAAUCAGGACUGAAACAGGUGGGUUUUUUUUGUUGCUUUCUUUCAUAUGUUUGGUUUUUAGAAACAGGGUUCUGGCUGUCCUAGAACUCACUAUGUAGACUAAGCUAAUCUCCUCAAACUCACAGAGAGCUUCCCAUCUCAGCCUACCAAGUACUGGGAUUAAAGGCAUGUUCCACCGCUGACCAGCUGUUUUUCAAACUCCUAAAAUAAAAAAAAAAAUCUUUUUAAGAUUCACUCAUUUUUCCUUUAAAUGUGCAUGAAUGUUUGGCCUGCAUGCAUGUAUGUGCAUCAUGUGUCUGCCUGUUGCAUCCCCUGGAACUAGGGUUACAGAUGGUUCGGGUGCUGGGAAUUAAACUUGGGUCUUCUGCAAGAGUAACAAGUGUUAGCUGAGUCAUCUAUCCAGCCCUGAAACCUUUCUGAGAAAUGAAAGGCAUUAACUUUAUAACCACCUCACCUUCAGGUGACUUAAAUUAUGCUUGUAUAAUUUUUGACUUUAUUUAAAAAAAAAAACACUAAUUAUAGCUCAUCAUAUCAAUCUCACGAAUGGGUCAUGACCCAUAGUUUGAAAAGCACUAAGUUGCAUUAAGAUGAAUACACACAUUCGGCCCUCAAGGCAUUCGUAUAUUUGCUGGCAGUCUCAAAUAUACACAGUCCCUCGAUAACCUGAAGACCCGGAAAAAGCCUCAGUGUCAAUCACUUCAAUAAUCUACUGUGUAGCAGAUUCUGCAACAUCCCUGACAGGGUGACACAUCCUGAAGCCUUUGCUUUCCAGACGCUGCGGGCAAAGCUGACUCUGAGGGUCACAAUACAGUUUAGCACUACCAAACAGACAGGCAAGAAGUUACCUUUCAUUUGGUACCUACCAUAGGGCUAUAUAUAGUCCAAUACAAUAGUGCAGAAAUUAAUAAAACACCUAAAUAUACACACAACCUUUUCCUGAGAGACAAUUUGGACUUAAUCCUAGACCCAGCAUAGUCUUUUGUAGGAAGAGGGAAGAGAGGAAGCCAGGAGACAAGAGGUCUCAAAAAGGUCCUCUUCAUGACCUAAUGGAGUGUUGGUGAAUGAGAUUAUCCGAAGUCUUCAGUAUUGGGGAGACCCAGUAAACAGACUCACAGUAAAGGCUGGAAGUCAGGAAUGGCUCCCCUAAGGGGGUCCAAAAGGAGCAGAGUCUUCACAGAGAAACUCCAUACAAUCAGACUGGCAGAGAAGAUAGGAGGUCUUCAGAAGAAACAAGCCCAGCACAUUCAGGGACAGUAAUGAAGGGCUGACAGAGAUGGCAAGGGAUAAAACCUUUCCAUAAAUAAUAUGCACAGUGUACAAUAUGUAGCAAAUAAUUUAUGAGUUAACUAAAAAUAAAAUAAAAAGCAAGAAGCUUUUAAGAAGAGAGCUAGCCAAAAAGAAAGACUGAGAGAUAAGACCAGAUCCCUCUACGGAAAGCAAGACAAUUAUAGAUUCUUCUACUCUUCGUGUAACAUGAUGUUUCUAAAGGUUUCUGAAUUUGCAGGAUAGUAUUUCAAAAUUACCCAUGGGCAAGCGGAGUGUAAACUGGUCUCUAAAAAGACCUAGAGUUCACACAACAGGUCCCCAAUAUCUGUUUUACUACAAAUGAAAAUGUGUACAUGUAUAUGGACUUCAGAAAUUCAGAAUAUUUUAGGAGCAGUCUUGGUUACCCAAAUGGAAGAAAGGCUGAGAUACUGAGCUUGGGUGCCAAUGAAAUCCUACUUAGUGUUUCUUUCAUCCUUCUCCUUUUGCUAUGGAGCCUGGCCUGUAAUUAAAUGGUUCUUUCCAUUAUUAAAGCUACAGACUUUAUUCAAAUUAAGCUACUGACUUGAUCCAUCCUAGAGAUUACUGGGUACCUACUAGAUUACUAUAAACCAUCUUGCAAAAAAGUAAAUUUUGCCUAAACAAUAGCAACCUUUAUGAUAAUGAAGAUUUCUAAAGUUACCAUACAGGGAUCUGGGGAGACAUUAACUAUCUAGUAAUUCUGGCUCUGCUGGAUAUACUGUCUGUGUCCUAUCUACCUCAGCUAGAACGAAGGUUUGUUUCAGGUGAAUACAAACACAGUCUGUGAGUCACCUUGCAAUUACAGCUGACACCUGAGAGCAUAGUUAAAGCUUGAGAAACACUGGAAGACUCUGCCCUGAUCUUCCUGUCUCUCUUCCCUGUCGCAGGAUGAAUAGAUUCUUGACAAAUCAUAGGAUAAUUUUUAUUGCACUUCUAAAUUGAAAAGGGCUGCCUCCAAAUACCUCAAAAUUACUGAGCUGAGAGUAUAGUAAAUUUUAGGGAUAAGAUGUAUUGCUUGAGGCUGUUUUUUUUUUCUCCCAAAGGAGAAAUCAUCAAGGGUUUCCUAAACUUCCGAGAAAACAUCUGUACAUACCAGGUCUACGUGUUAGCAAUCAUACACCUGUAACUGACGAGGGGGUCCUGAGGACCAUUCACCACUGAGCAACAUUCAUCUCAGCCCUCUGCUGCCGUAUUCCUCCAUUCAAGAAAGCCGCGUACAGCUCGGUGACAGUGGAACACACCCGUCACCUGAAAACGGCAGGCCAGGAUCUGCCUCGAUGCCUCAAUCCCCCCUGUCUGAGAGGCAGCAGGAACCGGGACCAAGGCAUCUAUCUGAUGGAACACUUAAAAGAAAAACAACACAGAAACAGUAACACUCCACAGCCAAGUGCGUGCGAUCCUCUCCACACCCUUGUAACUUCUUGCCCCACCAGUCAGGCAGUGGCGGACGACUUCGCCUUCUCGGGGUGGAGCACGGUCUCUUCUGCUCGCUCGUCACCUCCCCGUCCUUUGGUGACACGGAUACAACAACUGUGUGUGAUGCUUGGCUGUGGGAGGUCAAGCGUUUCCACCCUAAAACCGGGCCGUGGCUGAGCCCGGGUGCAGAGAGCCUGCAGCCAGCCGGCGGACAGGGG